Molecule: long non-coding RNA, 206 nt
Filed under: Elaeis guineensis (African oil palm)
Lineage: Eukaryota; Viridiplantae; Streptophyta; Magnoliopsida; Arecales; Arecaceae
Description: long non-coding RNA (EGUI_LNC069573)
Source: RNAcentral
CCCACAUGAGGCCCAUCUGAAACCCACAUCAAACCUAAUCAUCAGCUUAAACCCACUUAUCCUGCAUGGAUAUGAGUAGGUUGAAUAUGUGGCUCCACGAUGCUAAGCAGGCUCACAUAUGCAACCCAUAAUACUAAGCAUGUUGCAUAUAUGGCCAAACAAAGCUAACUCGACUGCCUUUUUGGUUCAUAUGUUGCAUGACCACA